This is a small nucleolar RNA of Erigeron canadensis, 102 nucleotides long. RefSeq annotates it as small nucleolar RNA Z103. The transcript has a single exon. The record is from RefSeq and is a predicted model, not a curated record. Lineage: Eukaryota; Viridiplantae; Streptophyta; Magnoliopsida; Asterales; Asteraceae.
AUGGAGUUGAUGAUUAUUUCCCCAGAUGAUCGAAUAUGAAAUAACUGAGCGCAUUUUUAAUUCUCUCUAUCAGGGAGAAUCCAAGCCAGAAAUCUGAUCCUU